This 441-nucleotide ribosomal RNA is filed under the name uncultured bacterium. RNAcentral describes it as "bacterial SSU rRNA". It matches the Rfam family "Bacterial small subunit ribosomal RNA", at positions 32 to 479 of the family's 1533-position model. The record is from RNAcentral.
AAUCAACGCUGGCGGCGUGCCUCAGACAUGCAAGUCGAACGAUUAAAGCUCUCUUCGGAGAGUGCAUAGAGUGGCGCACGGGUGAGUAACACGUAAGUAAUCUACCUUCGAGUGGGGAAUAACGUCCGGAAACGGACGCUAAUACCGCAUAAUGCAGCGGCAUCGCAAGAUGACAGUUGUUAAAGGAGCAAUUCGCUUGAAGAGGAGCUUGCGGCAGAUUAGCUAGUUGGUAAGGUAAUGGCUUACCAAGGCUACGAUCUGUAACCGGUCUAAGGGGACGGUCGGUCACACUGACACUGAAUAACGGGUCAGACUCCUACGGGAGGCAGCAGUCGGGAAUUUUGGGCAAUGGGCGAAAGCCUGACCCAGCAACGCCGCGUGAAGGAUGAAGUAUUUCGGUAUGUAAACUUCGAAAGAAUGGGAAGAAUCAAUGACGGUACC